RNAcentral lists this ribosomal RNA (252 nucleotides) under uncultured bacterium. Its description in RNAcentral is "partial 16S ribosomal RNA". It matches the Rfam family "Bacterial small subunit ribosomal RNA", at positions 524 to 776 of the family's 1533-position model. The record is from RNAcentral.
UACGUAGGUGGCAAGCGUUAUCCGGAUUUAUUGGGUUUAAAGGGUGCGUAGGCGGGCUUUUAAGUCAGCGGUAAAAAUUCGGGGCUCAACCCCGUCCGGCCGUUGAAACUGGGGGUCUUGAGUGGGCGAGAAGAAGGCGGAAUGCGUGGUGUAGCGGUGAAAUGCAUAGAUAUCACGCAGAACCCCGAUUGCGAAGGCAGCCUUCCGGCGCCCUACUGACGCUGAGGCACGAAAGUGCGGGGAUCGAACAGG